This 497-nucleotide ribosomal RNA is filed under the name uncultured bacterium. RNAcentral describes it as "partial 16S ribosomal RNA". It matches the Rfam family "Bacterial small subunit ribosomal RNA", at positions 28 to 507 of the family's 1533-position model. The record is from RNAcentral.
GAUGAACGCUGGCGGCGUGCCUAAUACAUGCAAGUCGAGCGAACAGACGAGGAGCUUGCUCCUCUGGCGUUAGCGGCGGACGGGUGAGUAACACGUGGAUAACCUACCUAUAAGACUGGGAUAACUUCGGGAAACCGGAGCUAAUACCGGAUAAUAUAUUGAACCGCAUGGUUCAAUAGUGAAAGACGGUUUUGCUGUCACUUAUAGAUGGAUCCGCGCCGCAUUAGCUAGUUGGUAAGGUAACGGCUUACCAAGGCAACGAUGCGUAGCCGACCUGAGAGGGUGAUCGGCCACACUGGAACUGAGACACGGUCCAGACUCCUACGGGAGGCAGCAGUAAGGAAUCUUCCGCAAUGGGCGAAAGCCUGACGGAGCAACGCCGCGUGAGUGAUGAAGGUCUUCGGAUCGUAAAACUCUGUUAUUAGGGAAGAACAAAUGUGUAAGUAACUAUGCACGUCUUGACGGUACCUAAUCAGAAAGCCACGGCUAACUACGUG